AAAACAAGGCAGCGCACCAAGACACUUUAAACUCAAUAAUUUGUGUUUAAAUACCAGCCUUCCUUCCAGCAACGACAUUUAUUUGAAUCUCGAAGGCCGUGCUUUUCCAAAAUGCACGCCCUAAAAGGAAAUGUAGAUCUCGGAGGCUAAAUUCACUUUUUAACCGCAGUGCGGCGCUGCCGCAGUGUGACGCUUGACGGUGAGCUAGGCCACGUUGUGUUGCUGUGAGCGGUGAGAGUGCUCGUUGCAGUUACACGGUAAUUUAAUCAUAUUUUCGAAGUGCCUAAACAAACUAUGAUCCGUACCGUAUGCAUUAACCGUCAGGAAACCUCUGGACUCGUGUAACGCCAUUAGUUCGCCUGAUGUUUCCUGUGAUACGCCAGUGUCUUGUGUACUACAGCGCCCGCCCGAGCUGCCUUUGUUCUCGCCUGUCCGCGUUCGCUCGUGGAAUACCUGAUACUGUGGCUUCGAAUUAUGGUGCGUGGAAGAAUUUGUUGAAAGUUUUGCUUUCGUGCGCUGGUGUUCAUCGGCAAUUCGACAGUGUUCGCGCCGGAAAGAGCGUCGUCGCGUGGUGCCUGCGAGACGAAGAAGCCGUUUGCUGACCACAUUGAAGGUGCCUUGUGAGCUCUCACCCAAGCACCACAUUCCAGAGGUCUGUUGUGAGCAGACCUGGCAAAUUGAAGUAACAUCCAGAUAGUCCAAUAAACUGUUCGUAGUUUCAGACAAA
This 727-nucleotide long non-coding RNA is filed under the name Dermacentor andersoni. RNAcentral describes it as "uncharacterized LOC126539875". Lineage: Eukaryota; Metazoa; Arthropoda; Arachnida; Ixodida; Ixodidae. The record is from RNAcentral.